Molecule: unclassified non-coding RNA, 348 nt
Filed under: soil metagenome
Description: partial contains 5.8S ribosomal RNA, internal transcribed spacer 2, and large subunit ribosomal RNA
Rfam family: 5.8S ribosomal RNA (bases 1-120)
Source: RNAcentral
GAUGAAGAACGUAGCGAAAUGCGAUAAGUAAUGUGAAUUGCAGAAUUCAGUGAAUCAUCGAAUCUUUGAACGCACAUUGCGCCCGCCAGUAUUCUGGCGGGCAUGCCUGUCUGAGCGUCAUUUCAACCCUCAUGCCCCUAGGGCGUGGUGUUGGGGAUCGGCCAAAGCCCGCGAGGGACGGCCGGCCCCUAAAUCUAGUGGCGGACCCGUCGUGGCCUCCUCUGCGAAGUAGUGAUAUUCCGCAUCGGAGAGCGAUGAGCCCCUGCCGUUAACCCCCCAACUUUCCAAGGUUGACCUCAGAUCAGGUAGGAAUACCCGCUGAACUUAAGUAUAUCAAUAAGCGGAGGA